UACGUAGGGAGCGAGCGUUGUCCGGAUUUACUGGGUGUAAAGGGUGCGUAGGCGGCCGAGCAAGUCAGUUGUGAAAACUAUGGGCUUAACCCAUAACGUGCAAUUGAAACUGUCCGGCUUGAGUGAAGUAGAGGUAGGCGGAAUUCCCGGUGUAGCGGUGAAAUGCGUAGAGAUCGGGAGGAACACCAGUGGCGAAGGCGGCCUACUGGGCUUUAACUGACGCUGAGGCACGAAAGCAUGGGUAGCAAACAGGAUUAGAUACCCUGGUAGUCCAUGCCGUAAACGAUGAUUACUAGGUGUGGGGGGACUGACCCCUUCCGUGCCGCAGUUAACACAAUAAGUAAUCCACCUGGGGAGUACGGCCGCAAGGUUGAA
RNAcentral lists this ribosomal RNA (375 nucleotides) under uncultured bacterium. Its description in RNAcentral is "bacterial SSU rRNA". It matches the Rfam family "Bacterial small subunit ribosomal RNA", at positions 524 to 898 of the family's 1533-position model. The record is from RNAcentral.